RNAcentral lists this ribosomal RNA (302 nucleotides) under uncultured bacterium. RNAcentral's name for it is "partial 16S ribosomal RNA". It matches the Rfam family "Bacterial small subunit ribosomal RNA", at positions 508 to 807 of the family's 1533-position model. The record is from RNAcentral.
GCAGCCGCCGCGGUAAUACAGAGGGUGCGAGCGUUAAUCGGAUUUACUGGGCGUAAAGCGUGCGUAGGCGGCUUUUUAAGUCGGAUGUGAAAUCCCUGAGCUUAACUUAGGAAUUGCAUUCGAUACUGGGAAGCUAGAGUAUGGGAGAGGAUGGUAGAAUUCCAGGUGUAGCGGUGAAAUGCGUAGAGAUCUGGAGGAAUACCGAUGGCGAAGGCAGCCAUCUGGCCUAAUACUGACGCUGAGGUACGAAAGCAUGGGGAGCAAACAGGAUUAGAUACCCGAGUAGUCCCUGUCUCUUAUAC